This 385-nucleotide ribosomal RNA is filed under the name uncultured bacterium. Its description in RNAcentral is "bacterial SSU rRNA". It matches the Rfam family "Bacterial small subunit ribosomal RNA", at positions 370 to 772 of the family's 1533-position model. The record is from RNAcentral.
AAUGGGGGAAACCCUGAUGCAGCGACGCCGCGUGAGCGAAGAAGUAUUUCGGUAUGUAAAGCUCUAUCAGCAGGGAAGAAAAUGACGGUACCUGACUAAGAAGCACCGGCUAAAUACGUGCCAGCAGCCGCGGUAAUACGUAUGGUGCAAGCGUUAUCCGGAUUUACUGGGUGUAAAGGGAGCGUAGACGGAUGGGCAAGUCUGAUGUGAAAACCCGGGGCUCAACCCCGGGACUGCAUUGGAAACUGUUCAUCUAGAGUGCUGGAGAGGUAAGUGGAAUUCCUAGUGUAGCGGUGAAAUGCGUAGAUAUUAGGAGGAACACCAGUGGCGAAGGCGGCUUACUGGACAGUAACUGACGUUGAGGCUCGAAAGCGUGGGGAGCAAA